This 31-nucleotide small RNA is filed under the name Bombyx mori (domestic silkworm). RNAcentral describes it as "ovarian small RNA-12597". The record is from RNAcentral. Lineage: Eukaryota; Metazoa; Arthropoda; Insecta; Lepidoptera; Bombycidae.
AUGCCCUGAAGGAGCUGGGGUUUCCGGCUCG